Molecule: ribosomal RNA, 495 nt
Filed under: uncultured bacterium
Lineage: Bacteria
Description: partial 16S ribosomal RNA
Rfam family: Bacterial small subunit ribosomal RNA
Source: RNAcentral
GACGAACGCUGGCGGCGUGCCUAAUACAUGCAAGUAGAACGCUGAAGGAGGAGCUUGCUCUUCUGGAUGAGUUGCGAACGGGUGAGUAACGCGUAGGUAACCUGCCUGGUAGCGGGGGAUAACUAUUGGAAACGAUAGCUAAUACCGCAUAAGAGUAGAUGUUGCAUGACAUUUACUUAAAAGGUGCAAUUGCCUCACUACCAGAUGGACCUGCGUUGUAUUAGCUAGUUGGUGGGGUAACGGCUUACCAAGGCGACGAUACAUAGCCGACCUGGGAGGGUGAUCGGCCACACUGGGACUGAGAAACCGCCCAGACUCCUACGGGAGGCAGCAGUAGGGAAUCUUCGGCAAUGGACGGAAGUCUGACCGAGCAACGCCGCGGGAGUGAAGAAGGUUUUCGGAUCGUAAAGCUCUGUUGUAAGAGAAGAACGAGUGUGAGAGUGGAAAGUUCACACUGUGACGGUACCUUACCAGAAAGGGACGGCUAACUACGUG